This 546-nucleotide ribosomal RNA is filed under the name Camelus bactrianus (Bactrian camel). RNAcentral describes it as "partial large subunit ribosomal RNA". It matches the Rfam family "Bacterial large subunit ribosomal RNA", at positions 1816 to 2597 of the family's 2925-position model. Lineage: Eukaryota; Metazoa; Chordata; Mammalia; Artiodactyla; Camelidae. The record is from RNAcentral.
CACCUCUAGCAUUACUAGUAUUAGAGGCACUGCCUGCCCAGUGACAUUAGUUAAACGGCCGCGGUAUCCUGACCGUGCAAAGGUAGCAUAAUCAUUUGUUCUUUAAAUAGGGACUUGUAUGAACGGCCACACGAGGGUUCUACUGUCUCUUGCUUCCAAUCAGUGAAAUUGACCUCCCCGUGCAGAGGCGGGGAUACACAAAUAAGACGAGAAGACCCUAUGGAGCUUUAAUUAACUAACUCAAAGAAAACAUAAAUAACCGCCAAGGGAUAAUAAUCUUCUACCUGAGUUAGCAAUUUCGGUUGGGGUGACCUCGGAGAACAGAAAAACCUCCGAGUGACUAAAAUCUAGACUUACCAGUCAAAAUGUAGUGUCACUUAUUGAUCCAAAAUAUUUGAUCAACGGAACAAGUUACCCUAGGGAUAACAGCGCAAUCCUGUUCAAGAGUUCAUAUCGACAAUAGGGUUUACGACCUCGAUGUUGGAUCAGGACACCCCAAUGGUGCAGCCGCUAUUAAAGGUUCGUUUGUUCAACGAUUAAAGUCCU